UACGUAGGGUGCGAGCGUUGUCCGGAAUUAUUGGGCGUAAAGAGCUCGUAGGCGGUUUGUUGCGUCUAUCGUGAAAACCUGCAGCUUAACUGUGGGCUUGCGGUGGAUACGGGCAGACUUGAGUUCGGUAGGGGAGACUGGAAUUCCUGGUGUAGCGGUGAAAUGCGCAGAUAUCAGGAGGAACACCGGUGGCGAAGGCGGUUCUCUGGGCAUGACCUGACGCUGAGGAGCGAAAGUGUGGGGAGCGAACAGG
Molecule: ribosomal RNA, 253 nt
Filed under: uncultured bacterium
Lineage: Bacteria
Description: partial 16S ribosomal RNA
Rfam family: Bacterial small subunit ribosomal RNA
Source: RNAcentral